RNAcentral lists this ribosomal RNA (435 nucleotides) under uncultured bacterium. Its description in RNAcentral is "partial 16S ribosomal RNA". It matches the Rfam family "Bacterial small subunit ribosomal RNA", at positions 29 to 507 of the family's 1533-position model. The record is from RNAcentral.
AGCGAACGCUGGCGGCAGGCUUAACACAUGCAAGUCGAGCGGGCACUUUCGGGUGUCAGCGGCUGACGGGUGAGUAACGCGUGGGAACGUGCCCUCUGGUUCGGAAUAACUCAGGGAAACUUGAGCUAAUACCGGAUACGCCCUUUUGGGGAAAGGCUUGCUGCCGGAGGAUCGGCCCGCGUCUGAUUAGCUAGUUGGUGAGGUAACGGCUCACCAAGGCGACGAUCAGUAGCUGGUCUGAGAGGAUGAUCAGCCACACUGGGACUGAGACACGGCCCAGACUCCUACGGGAGGCAGCAGUGGGGAAUAUUGGACAAUGGGCGCAAGCCUGAUACAGCCAUGCCGCGUGAGUGAUGAAGGCCUUAGGGUUGUAAAGCUCUUUUAUCCGGGACGAUAAUGACGGUACCGGAGGAAUAAGCCCCGGCUAACUUCGUG